AGAGAUAAGUUAGAGGUGGCAAUAGUAUAGUUAAAAACCUAACUCUCCACUAAGAAUGCUGAGUAGGAGGUGUCAUAGAAUCAAUUUAGUAGCAGUGUACUAAAAGGGAUAUAAUUGAAACAGCCUUUUCUCAUUGCCCAAAUCAUUCCAUAUAUGUUUCCUUUGUUUUACUAUUGCCGAGUACAAUUAUCACCAAAUUUUGGUCCAAGUUUCUCUUCAUUCUCGGCUAAACCAAGGAGUGGAACAAGGAAUCUAAAGUAAACUGUAUUGGGGAGAUUCGGAUAGCAGGG
This 290-nucleotide long non-coding RNA is filed under the name Panax ginseng (ginseng). RNAcentral's name for it is "long non-coding RNA (PGIN_LNC004937)". Lineage: Eukaryota; Viridiplantae; Streptophyta; Magnoliopsida; Apiales; Araliaceae. The record is from RNAcentral.